GGGAGAACCGUAGUGCGCAGGCGUCCGGACCGGAACCGCAUCUCCGGCGGCGGGGAUUGGAGCGCGCGCAUUUCGUGGGGCGGCAGCCCGCGCCCGGGUGCUGACCUCCUGCCUCAGCGCCCCCUCCCCUACUACCCGCGGCCUAGCGGGGUAGCCUCGGGCGGCCAGGCUUGUUUCCUCCUCGGUGGGUGUAAGGUGCGGCUUGGCUGGUCCUGGCCUGAAUCCAGCGGAAGCGCACGCUGCUGAGCUGUCAGCGGAGGAAAAUGGGGCCUGGACCUGGAGAUAUGAGGGUCUGGAGAGAGGGGCCCCUUCCCUGGUGUCGUGUGGUGCGACCACUGGAGAGGGAGUUUCUCGCCCUCGUCGCGCCUGCCGCGCGGAGAGAUAAGGAAUAGCUCUAAUCCAUAGAGGUAAUACUGUACCUGGCCACAACCAAUGAAUCCAGUGGUACACACCUAAUAACAAGCUGAGCCAGUGAGAGAGUCUCUCCCAGCAAAGCAAAACUUGAAAGAUAAAGAGGCAGGAGGCCUUUGCAGGUGAGCAUAUUAAUGGCAACUCAACCCCUGCUUCUAAGG
Molecule: long non-coding RNA, 572 nt
Filed under: Pan troglodytes (chimpanzee)
Lineage: Eukaryota; Metazoa; Chordata; Mammalia; Primates; Hominidae
Description: long non-coding RNA NONPTRT015101
Source: RNAcentral